GACGAACGCUGGCGGCGCGCCUAACACAUGCAAGUCGAACGAGCGAGAGAGAGCUUGCUUUCUCGAGCGAGUGGCGAACGGGUGAGUAACGCGUGAGGAACCUGCCUCAAAGAGGGGGACAACAGUUGGAAACGACUGCUAAUACCGCAUAAGCCCACGACCCGGCAUCGGGUAGAGGGAAAAGGAGCAAUCCGCUUUGAGAUGGCCUCGCGUCCGAUUAGCUAGUUGGUGAGGUAACGGCCCACCAAGGCGACGAUCGGUAGCCGGACUGAGAGGUUGAACGGACACAUUGGGACUGAGCCACGGCCCAGACUCCUACGGGAGGCAGCAGUGGGGAAUAUUGCACAGUGGGGGAAACCCUGAUGCAGCGACGCCGCGUGGAGGAAGAAGGUCUUCGGAUUGUAAACUCCUGUUGUCGAGGAAGAUAAUGACGGUACUCAACAAGGAAGUGACGGCUAACUACGUG
RNAcentral lists this ribosomal RNA (466 nucleotides) under uncultured bacterium. RNAcentral describes it as "partial 16S ribosomal RNA". It matches the Rfam family "Bacterial small subunit ribosomal RNA", at positions 28 to 507 of the family's 1533-position model. The record is from RNAcentral.